RNAcentral lists this ribosomal RNA (446 nucleotides) under uncultured bacterium. RNAcentral describes it as "partial 16S ribosomal RNA". It matches the Rfam family "Bacterial small subunit ribosomal RNA", at positions 338 to 795 of the family's 1533-position model. The record is from RNAcentral.
CCUACGGGUGGCAGCAGUCGAGAAUCAUUCACAAUGGGGGAAACCCUGAUGGUGCGACGCCGCGUGGGGGAAUGAAGGUCUUCGGAUUGUAAACCCCUGUCAUGUGGGAGCAAAUUAAAACGAUCGUACCACAAGAGGCAGAGACGGCUAACUCUGUGCCAGCAGCCGCGGUAAUACAGAGGUCUCAAGCGUUGUUCGGAAUCACUGGGCGUAAAGCGUGCGUAGGCUGUUUCGUAAGUCGUGUGUGAAAGGCGCGGGCUCAACCCGCGGACGGCACAUGAUACUGCGAGACUAGAGUAAGGGAGGGGGAACCGGAAUUCUCGGUGUAGCAGUGAAAUGCGUAGAUAUCGAGAGGAACACUCGUGGCGAAGGCGGGUUCCUGGACAGUAACUGACGCUGAGGCACGAAGGCCAGGGGAGCGAAAGGGAUUAGAUACCCCGGUAGUC